GACGAACGCUGGCGGCGUGCCUAACACAUGCAAGUCGAACGGAAAGGCCCUGCUUUUGUGGGGUGAUCGAGUGGCGAAGGGGUGAGUAACACGUGAGUAUCCUGCCCUUCUCUUUGGGGUAACUUAAGGAAACUGGGGCUACUAUCGGAUAGGAGAUCAUGCUGCAUGGUGGGGGUUGGAUAGUUUCUGCGGUUGGGGAUGGACUCGCGGCUUAUCAGCUUGUUGGUGGGGUAGUGGCUUACCAAGGCUUUGACGGAUAGCCGGCCUGGGAGGGUGACCGGCCACAAUGGUACUGCGAUACGGCCCAGACUCCUACGGUAGGCAGCGGUGGGGAGUAUUACACAGUGAGCGGGAGCCUGAUGCAACAACGCCGCGUUCGUGAAGACGUCCUUCGGGUUGUGAACCGCUUUCGCCUGUUACGAAGCGUUAGUGACGGUAAUGGGUAAAGAAGCACCGGCUAACUACGUG
RNAcentral lists this ribosomal RNA (468 nucleotides) under uncultured bacterium. RNAcentral's name for it is "partial 16S ribosomal RNA". It matches the Rfam family "Bacterial small subunit ribosomal RNA", at positions 28 to 507 of the family's 1533-position model. The record is from RNAcentral.